UUGACCUCGGAUCAGGUAGGAAUACCCGCUGAACUUAAGCAUAUCAUAGGCC
This 52-nucleotide ribosomal RNA is filed under the name Fusarium thapsinum. RNAcentral describes it as "partial 28S ribosomal RNA". The record is from RNAcentral. Lineage: Eukaryota; Fungi; Ascomycota; Sordariomycetes; Hypocreales; Nectriaceae.